AACACGAUUACUGGUCCACCUAGAAAUGCCGUGGAGCGAUUUAAGAGCCUCGGAAAUUUCCUUUAAGGUCAGGAGAGAAGCUGGUAACAGAUGGGGCGAAGGAGGAAAAGUUCUUUUUGCGGCACCCUCACGCCUUCCCAGCCCUUUCGCGGUUUACUCGCUCCCCGGAAAGCAGACUAGUCUCACUCUGUUGCCCAGGCUGGAGUGCAGUGGCGCGAUCUCAGCUUACUUCAGCCUCCGCCUCCCGGUUUCAAGUGAAUUCUCCAGCCUCAACUUCACAAGUAGCUGGGAUUACAGGGCAUUCAAGCAGCCCUGAGGAGAGGUCCACAUGGUGAGCCACUGAGGGCCUUGCCAAGAGCCAGCACCAACGGUCCAGGUUUGGAGUGUACCACCUUGGAAGUGAAUCUUCCAGUCCAGUCAAGCCUUCAGAUGACUUCAGAACCGUCCAUGUAAGCCACUCUUGGAUUCCUGACCCACAGAAACUGUUGGAGCUGCCAAUUUGCAGGAAAUAGAGGAGAGAAGCAUCUGUUGAACUGCACCAUGAGUAUACACUCAGCAAAGGCCAAACUGUGGAAAAUGAUACAGGUCAAACAGCCUGGAUUCUUUAACAGACGGAGUCUCACUCUGUCACCCAGCCUGAAGUGCAAUGGUACAAUCUCAGCUCACUGCAACCUCCGCCUCCCGGGCUCAAGCAAUUCUCCUGCCUCAGCCUCCUGAAUAGCUGGGAUUACAGGCACGCGCCACCACGCCCAGCUAAUUUUUGUAUUUUUAGUAGAGACGGGGUUUCACCAUGUUGCCCAGGCUGGUCUUGAACUCCUGACCUCAGGUGAUCCACCCACCUCAGCCUCCCAAAGUGCUGGGAUUACAGGCAUGAGCCACCGUGCCUGGCCUUUUGUAUCUGUUUUAUUUUUUAAAUAAUAAGAUUAAAAAUAAAUAUUCUGCAUGAUUAAACAAAUACAGAUUUAAAUUUUUACAGUCCAAUUGAGUGAUUUCCUCAUGUUCCAAAACCAGGAAGUAGGUGUGGGACAUCUAUCUCCGUAUUGCAUACACAGUCUGGAUUCUAGUUGUAGACUCCAUAUGGGCUGUCAUACACGCUACUACAGAAAUGAGAGAAAUCCUUGGGAAAUGGAACCAUCUCACACAUGAGAGACAUCUCUGACAACUUAUUCAUAACUGAAUACUUCUCAUUUAUCUUUACCAGUAAGUGAUGUUUCUGAAGCACCAAUGAAAAUGAAGUCCUGAAGUCCUGUGCUCAAUAUGAAAUGUUGGAAGUUAGAAGAAAAAAACAAAACUUGGAUCCAAUCUCAAGGCACUUUUUGUUUAAUGGGAAGAAGUGGAUUAUUUUAAAAGCUACAAAUAAAGUUACAUAAAAGUAGCAAA
This 1380-nucleotide long non-coding RNA is filed under the name Homo sapiens (human). Its description in RNAcentral is "SIPA1L1 antisense RNA 1, transcript variant 6 (SIPA1L1-AS1)". Lineage: Eukaryota; Metazoa; Chordata; Mammalia; Primates; Hominidae. The record is from RNAcentral.